This is a long non-coding RNA of Homo sapiens (human), 163 nucleotides long. RefSeq lists it as uncharacterized. NCBI's taxonomy places the organism in Eukaryota, Metazoa, Chordata, Mammalia, Primates, Hominidae. The transcript is spliced from 2 exons. The record is from RefSeq and is a predicted model, not a curated record.
UCCCAGGAGAGCGGAGAGGAUGGGGUGUGUGCGGCCACAUCGCGGGAACCCAGUCCAGGGCCCUGCAGCGGCCCCACGGCGCCCCCCAGGGGCGAGAAGCAGAGGUGCAGGAGCCGGAGUUCUUUUAUUUCACAUAAAAAAAAAUAAAAGCAGAGACACGCAA